AGCAGUAGCCACGGUAAUACGGAGGGGGCUAGCGUUGUUCGGAAUUACUGGGCGUAAAGCGUGCGUAGGCGGUUUGUUAAGUCUGCUGUGAAAUCCCCGGGCUCAACCUGGGAAUGGCAGUUGAUACUGGCAAGCUAGAGUGUGUCAGAGGAUGGUGGAAUUCCCGGUGUAGCGGUGAAAUGCGUAGAGAUCGGGAGGAACAUCAGUGGCGAAGGCGGCCAUCUGGGACAACACUGACGCUGAGGCACGAAAGCGUGGGGAGCAAACAGGAUUAGAUACCCCUGUAGUCCCUGUCUUUUAUAA
RNAcentral lists this ribosomal RNA (303 nucleotides) under uncultured bacterium. Its description in RNAcentral is "partial 16S ribosomal RNA". It matches the Rfam family "Bacterial small subunit ribosomal RNA", at positions 507 to 809 of the family's 1533-position model. The record is from RNAcentral.